GUUAAACUAUAAUCUAAUCUCUUCUUGAUACAUUUACAUAAGUUAGUUAUUUAUGUUAUUACACAAAGAGUUGUAACUCUUCAAGUUGUGUCCUUUAGUAUAAAGAGUUGUGUCUCUUAUACUUGUAUUGAUUCGAUCUCUAUAUAAAGAUCAAUCAUCUGUUGUAAACAUAUUACCGAAUCUCAAUAAUACAAAAGUAUUUUCAG
RNAcentral lists this long non-coding RNA (206 nucleotides) under Brassica rapa (field mustard). RNAcentral's name for it is "long non-coding RNA (BRAP_LNC005687)". The record is from RNAcentral. Lineage: Eukaryota; Viridiplantae; Streptophyta; Magnoliopsida; Brassicales; Brassicaceae.